Amphimedon queenslandica is the source of this 422-nucleotide long non-coding RNA. RefSeq lists it as uncharacterized. The record is from RefSeq and is a predicted model, not a curated record. Lineage: Eukaryota; Metazoa; Porifera; Demospongiae; Haplosclerida; Niphatidae. The transcript has 4 exons.
UCACAAGCUUGUGGGAAGUGGCAAAACAAAACACAAUAUGUGGAUAUGCAAAGGAGUGGAACAUAGUAGGACAAAAGAGGCCAAAUAAGGGUUGCACAAGACUGCACAAGUCAGAAGUCAGGAUUGUUGUAAAAGCUUUAUCUUUGUGCUUUUUUCCAAGUAUAGUAGCUGGAACUUAAAGAGCAUAUCAAUGAUGUCAUCUUUCUACAUAUUCGCAGCCUUACUUCUGGUGUUGCUGUUCGCUACCCCAAAAUUCUUACAAAAGAGAAAGAUUUGCUGUGGUAAUAGAAAGAGGGUUUAUCACAUUACAGAACUAAAGGAUUUCACUGCAAAAGCAAUGGUGAAAUAUCAAAAGACCCCCUAUCUACAUGAAAGACUUAGAGGCAAAUGCCAUGAAUCUAUGAACUAUUACACAACAGCAG